UAACUUGAGAGACUACCAGAAGCUAGUCUCAGAUCAUAAGUGGCUGUCAUUUGAAAACUUUCACAGUGAUUUGCAUUGUUCAAGGAAUUUCCUGAGCCAAAGUGCAUGGGUUACAGAUUUUUACUGACCAGAAAAGUUUUCCACCACUUGUAAACAGACCCAGGUUUAGAAAGAAACCUGAAAGCAGUUCCUCCCUGCUGGUCUCUGGAGUUUCUGUUGUCCCCGAAGAAACAGAAAGCAACCUUUCUCUCACAGACUUUUGGUUCCUCUAGGAGCGAUACUGCACAAUCGAGUUACUCCACUUUAAUUCCACCCGUAUCUAUGGACCCUCAAAGACUGCAGAGGCCAUCUACAAGUCAGGCUGGGUCUUCUUAUGGAAUCGCACCUGUGUUUACAAAG
Non-coding RNA from Pelodiscus sinensis (Chinese soft-shelled turtle), 399 nucleotides. NCBI's taxonomy places the organism in Eukaryota, Metazoa, Chordata, Testudines, Trionychidae. The record is from RefSeq and is a predicted model, not a curated record.